CCUANGGGGGGCAGCAGUGGGGAAUUUUGGACAAUGGGCGAAAGCCUGAUCCAGCCAUUCCGCGUGAGUGAAGAAGGCCUUCGGGUUGUAAAGCUCUUUCGGCAGGAACGAAAUGGUUACGGUUAAUAACUGUGACUUCUGACGGUACCUGAAGAAGAAGCACCGGCUAACUACGUGCCAGCAGCCGCGGUAAUACGUAGGGUGCGAGCGUUAAUCGGAAUUACUGGGCGUAAAGCGUGCGCAGGCGGUUUUGUAAGUCAGAUGUGAAAGCCCCGGGCUUAACCUGGGAAUGGCGUUUGAAGCUACAAGGCUAGAGUGUGUCAGAGGGGGGUAGAAUUCCACGUGUAGCAGUGAAAUGCGUAGAGAUGUGGAGGAAUACCGAUGGCGAAGGCAGCCCCCUGGGAUAACACUGACGCUCAUGCACGAAAGCGUGGGGAGCAAACAGGAUUAGAUACCCCUNUANUC
Molecule: ribosomal RNA, 465 nt
Filed under: uncultured bacterium
Lineage: Bacteria
Description: bacterial SSU rRNA
Rfam family: Bacterial small subunit ribosomal RNA
Source: RNAcentral